RNAcentral lists this ribosomal RNA (252 nucleotides) under uncultured bacterium. RNAcentral's name for it is "partial 16S ribosomal RNA". It matches the Rfam family "Bacterial small subunit ribosomal RNA", at positions 15 to 260 of the family's 1533-position model. The record is from RNAcentral.
GAUCGGCUCAGGAUGAACGCUAGCUACAGGCUUAACACAUGCAAGUCGAGGGGCAGCAUGAACUUAGCUUGCUAAGUUUGAUGGCGACCGGCGCACGGGUGAGUAACACGUAUCCAACCUUCCGUUUACUCAGGGAUAGCCUUUCGAAAGAAAGAUUAAUACCUGAUAGUAUGGUGAGAUUGCAUGAUAACACCAUUAAAGAUUUAUUGGUAAACGAUGGGGACGCGUUCCAUUAGGUAGUAGGGACGGGGG